RNAcentral lists this ribosomal RNA (384 nucleotides) under Micromonas sp. RNAcentral describes it as "partial small subunit ribosomal RNA". It matches the Rfam family "Eukaryotic small subunit ribosomal RNA", at positions 582 to 975 of the family's 1831-position model. Lineage: Eukaryota; Viridiplantae; Chlorophyta; Mamiellophyceae; Mamiellales; Mamiellaceae. The record is from RNAcentral.
AUUCCAGCUCCAAUAGCGUAUAUUUAAGUUGUUGCAGUUAAAAAGCUCGUAGUUGGAUUUCGGUUGAGAGCGGCCGGUCCGCCGUUUGGUGUGCACUGGCUGGUUUCAGCUUCCUGCAGAGGACGCGCUCUGGGCUUAAUCGUCUGGACGUGGAGUCUGCGUGGUUACUUUGAAAAAAUUAGAGUGUUCAAAGCGGGCUUACGCUUGAAUAUUUCAGCAUGGAAUAACACUAUAGGACUCCUGUCCUAUUUCGUUGGUCUCGGGACGGGAGUAAUGAUUAAGAGGAACAGUUGGGGGCAUUCGUAUUUCAAUGUCAGAGGUGAAAUUCUUGGAUUUUUGAAAGACGAACUUCUGCGAAAGCAUUUGCCAAGGAUGUUUUCAUCG